This 154-nucleotide ribosomal RNA is filed under the name uncultured eukaryote. RNAcentral's name for it is "partial small subunit ribosomal RNA". It matches the Rfam family "Eukaryotic small subunit ribosomal RNA", at positions 1651 to 1800 of the family's 1831-position model. The record is from RNAcentral.
CCCUGCCAUUUGUACACACCGCCCGUCGCUCCUACCGAUUGAAUGAUCCGGUGAGGCCCCCGGACUGUGGCAACGCAGUUGGUUUUCCAGCCGCGAUGCCGCGGGAAGCUGUCCAAACCUUAUCAUUUAGAGGAAGGAGAAGUCGUAACAAGGU